Molecule: ribosomal RNA, 256 nt
Filed under: uncultured prokaryote
Description: partial 16S ribosomal RNA
Rfam family: Bacterial small subunit ribosomal RNA
Source: RNAcentral
GACCCUGCACAAGCGGUGGAUCAUGUUGUUUAAUUCGAGGAUACGCGAAGAACCUUACCAGGCCUUGACAUCCUCUGCAAAGCUAUAGAGAUAUAGUGGAGGUUAACAGAGAGACAGGUGGUGCACGGUUGUCGUCAGCUCGUGUCGUGAGAUGUUGGGUUAAGUCCCGUAACGAGCGCAACCCUUGUUGCUAGUUGCCAUCAUUAAGUUGGGGACUCUAGCGAGACUGCCAGUGAUAAACUGGAGGAAGGCGGGG